AGUGAACGCUGGCGGUAGGCCUAACACAUGCAAGUCGAACGGCAGCACAGUAAGAGCUUGCUCUUACGGGUGGCGAGUGGCGGACGGGUGAGGAAUACAUCGGAAUCUACUUUUUCAUGGGGGAUAACGUAGGGAAACUUACGCUAAUACCGCAUACGACCUACGGGUGAAAGCAGGGGAUCUUCGGACCUUGCGCGAUUGAAUGAGCCGAUGUCGGAUUAGCUAGUUGGCGGGGUAAAGGCCUACCAAGGCGACGAUCCGUAGCUGGUCUGAGAGGAUGAUCAGCCACACUGGAACUGAGACACGGUCCAGACUCCUACGGGAGGCAGCAGUGGGGAAUAUUGGACAAUGGGCGCAAGCCUGAUCCAGCCAUACCGCGUGGGUGAAGAAGGCCUUCGGGUUGUAAAGCCCUUUUGUUGGGAAAGAAAAGCAGCAGGUUAAUACCCCGCUGUUCUGACGGUACCCAAAGAAUAAGCACCGGCUAACUUCGUG
Molecule: ribosomal RNA, 492 nt
Filed under: uncultured bacterium
Lineage: Bacteria
Description: partial 16S ribosomal RNA
Rfam family: Bacterial small subunit ribosomal RNA
Source: RNAcentral